RNAcentral lists this ribosomal RNA (860 nucleotides) under uncultured bacterium. Its description in RNAcentral is "bacterial SSU rRNA". It matches the Rfam family "Bacterial small subunit ribosomal RNA", at positions 28 to 896 of the family's 1533-position model. The record is from RNAcentral.
AACGAACGUUGGCGGCGUGGAUUAGGCAUGCAAGUCGAACGAAUCCCGGGGGCAACUCCGGGGGAAGUGGCGAAAGGGGCAGUAAUGCGUGGCUAACCUACCCUGGGGACGGGGAUAGCCUUCCUAACGGAAGGGUAAUACCUGGCGAUGUGGCGAGGGGGCAUCUUCUUGCCAUGAAAUGAGUUUCGCCUCGGGAGGGGGUCACGUGCUAUUAGCUUGUUGGCGGGGUAACGCCCCACCAAGGCUAAGAUGGCUAGCGGGUGUGAGAGCACGACCCGCGCCACUGGCACUGAGACACUGGCCAGACUCCUACGGGAGGCUGCAGUCGAGGAUCUUCGGCAAUGGGCGCAAGCCUGACCGAGCGACGCCGCGUGUGCGAUGAAGGCCUUCGGGUUGUAAAGCACUGUCGAGGGGGAGGAAAGCCCGCAAGGGUCUGACCUAUCCCUGGAGGAAGCACGGGCUAAGUUCGUGCCAGCAGCCGCGGUAAGACGAACCGUGCGAACGUUGUUCGGAUUCACUGGGCUUAAAGGGCGCGUAGGCGGCUUGCCAAGUCAGGGGUGAAAUCUUUCGGCUUAACCGGAAAAGUGCUUCUGAUACUGGCAGGCUGGAGGGAGGUAGGGGCAGAUGGAACUUCCGGUGGAGCGGUGAAAUGCGUAGAUAUCGGAAGGAACGCCGGUGGCGAAAGCGAUCUGCUGGACCUCUUCUGACGCUGAGGCGCGAAAGCCAGGGGAGCAAACGGGAUUAGAUACCCCGGUAGUCCUGGCCCUAAACGAUGGGUACUAGGUAGUGGACUUGACAUGGGUUCACUGCCGAAGCAAAAGUGUUAAGUACCCCGCCUGGGGAGUACGGUCGCAAGAUUA